CAAACUCAAAUGAUUUGUUAAUCAUUGCAAUUAAUAAAUUACCACAUGGAAAGCUAAGAUCAUCGAUGGACAACAGACUUUCCUCUGUACCCCAGGAAAAUUUGCAACCUUUCAUUGUAUAAUAUAGAAUAAUGGAUGAUUCCAUAUCAUAAAUAGAAUUGAGAUAACUAAUAAUUUUAUAGAAAACAGAACUAAAGAGACUUGAAGAAGAUCAAUGGAAAUUUAAGAAAUAUAAUUCUUCAUUUUAUAUUUUAUUAGAGAGGGAAUUCCUUUUAUAAAACGCUGAUGACGUUUGUCUUUCUGACAUUGUAACAAUUAUUAAUUUUAGUAUGACUAUUCUUGGAUGUUAUAAAACAUGUGCAUCAAGCGUCAAAAUAUACUUUCUACGAAGAACUUAUUUAGUUUCCUAGAAACUAACCAGAGAAUAUCGAUGGAAUGAAGCUAUAUUUGCGAUUUAGUUUGCAGUAUCAAGGAAGAAAAGUUCUUUGUUACCAUUCGAUAAGCUCUUCUGCCUCUCCAGGUCACGAUAAUAAACAUUAUUGUUCAAACAAACUGAGUAAAUGUAAAACAAAUGUUUGCAUUCGGCCGGGAGUAGCUGGUUUUUCUCGAUAAGGUUGCAAUGUUAUGUUGCUAAUUCUCGAUACUUACCAUAAGAAGUAGUUGAUUUAAAUUAAGUAUCUGAUGGUCUAAUUAAAUUAAAUUGAAAUUAAAACGUGGAUUCACGUUUUCAAUUACAUGUAACACUUGAGGAUAUAACUAUCUCGAAUUAGAAAUUUAAAAUUAAAUUAAUUAACUUACUAUAAGAUACAACGUGUAAGAAUCCAAAAUAGCAAAGAGACAGCAGAAAAUAGCGGUGAUCGCUGUGGUUGUGUAUCGAACGUGUAAAAUGGAUAGACCAUAUCUGAAAAUUUUCAGAAAUCGUUUUACGAUACCAGAAAGUCAUUAACAAUAAUAAAAAAAAAAAUUUUUCAAACACGAAACUGACCUAUAAAGAUACGUGAAUUUCCACGCUCGUGAUAAACCAAUCGCAGCGAAUAUUCCAGUAGUGUAAGCAACGCCAAAACCAUCCUUAACUUCGGUGUUUCGAUGCAGGAUCCAGCAGUAAAGGAUAGCUACUAUCGUGAUGA
Long non-coding RNA from Apis mellifera (honey bee), 1127 nucleotides. RefSeq lists it as uncharacterized. The transcript is spliced from 3 exons. The record is from RefSeq and is a predicted model, not a curated record. Lineage: Eukaryota; Metazoa; Arthropoda; Insecta; Hymenoptera; Apidae.